Molecule: transfer RNA, 75 nt
Filed under: Klebsiella michiganensis
Lineage: Bacteria; Pseudomonadati; Pseudomonadota; Gammaproteobacteria; Enterobacterales; Enterobacteriaceae
Description: tRNA-Arg
Rfam family: tRNA
About the family: Transfer RNA (tRNA) molecules are approximately 80 nucleotides in length. Their secondary structure includes four short double-helical elements and three loops (D, anti-codon, and T loops).
Source: RNAcentral
GCACUUUCUGCUGCAUACUUCGGCAACGGCCUUCUAAGCCGUAGGUCACAGGUUCGAACCCUGUAGGGCGUACCA